GCGCUAUUCACUCGAGGAAUGGCGGAUUUCUUUUUGGUAGUGUGCAUGUCGGUAGUCUAGUUCUUGGCUGAAGAAAAGUGUGCACAUUUAGUUCGUAUCUUGCAUUAAUCUGUACCCGCGCUGUUGGGACAGUGUAUUCAAAAUGGAAAACAGAAUCAAACGAGUGCGAAUUGUGGGGAAAGGACACGCUUCAUGUUUUGAACGUCUUUUGCUAGAGUGGUAUCGGCGAGAGAGUUUCGUCGAUGUAAUUCUGACGUGCGUUGGUAGUCCUGAAAAUCAUUUGAGUGAUGAAGCCGUGGCGCGCCAUAUACCCGCAAACCGAAGCGUAUUGGCAGCAGCUAGUCCGGUAUUUGCCGCCAUGUUUUGUGAAAACCCACUCGUGGAGGAAGAUGUUCGAAUCUCCGUUGUUGGCUACUCAUACACCUCUAUUCGUUCUAUCAUUGAAUACAUUUACACGGGAUCGCUCGAAUUUUCCGAUUGCGAUAAGGAGCAAAUCAAAGAAAUACUCAGAGAUUUCCUUAUCCCGAUUCCAAACACGAAGAAAAUCUCGAAAAAUCAAGAAAAAGAAACUGUAACGGACGAUGAAACUUGCGAAUCCAUCGCCAAAAGUAGAAGCCAGAUUAUAACAGAAACUGGGGCGGAGAACAGACGCAACACCACAUACGAUACCAACACCGGGAUAAGAAACGAAGAAGCAGAAGAACAUGGAAUUCACAUAGUUUCCUCCGUCUCUUUGUCAUCCAUGGGGGAUGUCCAAAUAAUACCGCCAACAAAAACCUAUCGUGCGAAUAAAAUGAGGCCUCUGGCUCCAAAAGCGUUUACACGUGCCGUGAAGAAUCCUGAACUAGCUUCAGCUUAUUCCCGGAAGAACGCUCUGCGACCACGAAAUAAGGUAAACCCCCACGACGCUGAGGAAUCACCGCCAGUCUUAGGAAACAUAACAACAAGAGUAUGCGAUUUCCAAAAACUACCAACCGCAUUAGAAUCGACAAUACAGAAACCGUUGAAUGCACAUAUCAACCCCCGAAACUGCAACCUGCCUUUGUCGGAACCAGUUAUUAACCAAGUUGAGGCAACGACUACUCCUCAACUCAACGUAAUUCGUAUAUUUAAUCGAAUGGUCGAAGCCCCGCAUUCUUCGAAGAAACAAACGACUAUGGAGUCCCUUCCUAUUCCGUUUUGCCAAUUUGGAUUAUCCAAGAGUUUCGACGAAAAGACGGUCAUCCAAUCUGAAAGUGUUUUGGUACCACCAGUGAAAGUAGAUAUUCCGAUCAUGAAAAACGGUCGGUGCAUAUUCACUGUGACGGAGGAAAUGGCCAGAGCCUCUUAUUACCGCAAUGUCAUCUCUGCUCUGUACGAUGUCCCGGGAACGUAUACUUUGUAUCGAGAAAGACCAACUCCAAACAUCGAUACAAUACCAUUCUGUGAACUUGCAAAAUUCCAAGUUUCCAAAACGCACAUCUUUGUUCCAUCCUAUCUUGAGAAAAAACCUUUGUUUACCUACCAAGACAGGCCUAGUACAAGGGCCCAACGUCAGUCGCAAACCAGCAUUUCUCUAUCGGGAAUCAGAAUCGAGUCGGUCCAUCAAGUCAACGGUAAAGUGCACAUCUGUACUCUGGGAGAACCACUUGUCAAUCAGGCAUCAGAAACUCUCUUUGAGGACUACCCACUUUCUUACCUGAACCCGGACCAAGUAGUUUCUCGCCUUUCAUUGGAACACAAUUAUUCAUUUGGCGAAACACCGUUGCCUACCGAUAGCGAGUGCUCCAAUCGUAGUGAAUUGGCUAAAGAUCUAGAAGACUACAAAAGUGCCAUACAGCUUGCAAUCAAUCAGCAACGUCGCAAAAAUCGGUUGAGACAUCGUAUUCAAUCUUAUUCAAAAGAGGUCUCCACCCUAAAACGCAGAGCCGUGGAGUUGCUUGAUAUUUGUCACUUAAUGCAAGAUGAAGCUCAUGAAAUGGAUCCCGAUUAUCAACGGUCUAACAAGAAAACUACAAGCGAACGGUCCAAAAUCGGGCAAAGCAAUGAUGCGGAUGAGAAAGUCCCUUGCACAGUUUGCAAUAAACUAAUCAAGAAAACUUGGCUCAAGCAACACAUGGUGAUUCUGCACACGGAAGAAAGAAACCACUUGUGCGAUGAAUGCGGCCGAACAUUUGUCAUUAAAGCUCAGUUGCGAGCCCAUCAGCUACGACAGCAUAAGGCUGUACCGGGAAAUCACCUGUGUGAGCAGUGCGGUAGGUCAUUCCGAUUCGCCCGUUAUUUAAAUCGCCACAUGUCGUUACAUUCGAGCGAGAAGCCCCACGUUUGUCGGUAUUGUGACAAAGCAUUUCGCCUGAAACCCGUGCUGAUUAAGCACAUUCGCACACACACUGGGGAGAAACCAUAUAAAUGCACGGUUUGCGGAAGAUGUUUCAGACAGAGGACAACUUAUGCAACCCACCUCAAGAUGCACGAAAAGAGACAAAUGGCUGGUGUGAGAGAAGGGAAUACUGGACUGGGGCAACUUCCUCGCCUCAAAUGUGAUUUUUGCUCUAUGACUUUCAAGCUGGAUCUCUUCUUAAUGCUUCACCGAGCUAAACAUACAGGAGAGACACCGGCGUUGCCUUGUCCUACCUGCAAGGAUACGUUUCCUUCUAUUAAGGAGCUCACUCUUCAUCGUAAAAGCCAACACCCAGAAUCGGUAUAUGCGUGCCAAAUCUGUCCCAAAGUCUUUACAAACAAGGCUAAUUUUGAUUUCCACGUGCACAAACAUUCAAAUCCUGAUGCUGUCAAGAAAAAAUAUCCAAAAGUGGAUCCCGUCGAUACAGGUCCUUGCACCUGUGACUUUUGCGACAAAGUUUUCAAAUCGCGUUCCGCGCGUGACUACCACAUUAAGGGAAUCCAUUUAGGUGACAAAUCGCUGAAAUGUCAGUACUGCGAUAAAACCUUUUCGCAUAAACCAUCGUUGGAGCAGCACAUGCGGACGCACACGGGCGAGAGGCCUUUCAAAUGUGAUCAAUGCCCAAGUUCAUUUAAGCAACAACAGCAUCUGACGGCCCACAUGGUUGUUCACACGGGUGAGCGCCCAUUCAGCUGUGACCAUUGCGAUAAGACGUUUCCUCACAAGACUUCUCUGUAUGCCCACUUACGUAUACACACGGGCAAAAGGCUGAUGUGUACGCAUUGCCGGAAAGUUCUGCCUAGCCUAGCGCAAUUGAUGCGCCACGAAGAAAAUUGCUCGUUGAAUACCAAUGAAUCUUCCGUUGAAUAACGGAUACUUUCAUCAUUGCUAUGCGCCAAACAGUUUGCACCCCUUUGACGGAUAUUCCUUUUAUCGCGUGUAUACAUAGACUGAGACAACAGGUAACAAAUAAUUGAGAGGGUAGGGAGAUAAGUAACGAGUACUGGCAGUUAAUGAAUAAUCUCACAUGUGUGAGGACUUGUGACGAUUAACCAGAACGGUCAGAUCGCGUGGAUCAAUGAUGAAAGAAUCCGGGUUAGUGUUAGUCUCAGUGCUGGGUAGUUGAUGUUGACGAGUAGCCAAUCGUCGAUGGAUAACUAUACCAGACUGUUGUUGCUUGACAGUUUGAAGUAGAUUUUCUUGCUGUUUCUGCCAAUCCAGCACGUUACUCAAGAGCCUUAUAUACUUAAUCGCAAGCCGGAGAAUCUCAUUCUUGCUUAACUUUUUCUCCGGUGGGUAGGUUGGAACGAGUUUACGCAACUCAGAGAACGCACCGCUGACGUUUUGUUGGCGCCAGCGUUCGCGACUGUUACUGAAAGUCUUUCGUGGAAAGACGAUUAGCGGACGACCGGACUCUUCCGAUGUUGUUUUCUGUGUUACACGCCCUCCCAGAGGCGAAGUUGAGUGAGAUGGCUGUCCUCGAGCCUUAGUUGGGUUUAAUCGUUUGCGGAACUGCAAAGUGGUAGCACUAGAUAUGGUUGAUGGACUCUCCGCUUUGAUACUCUCAGACUCCUCGUGACUAGAACGGCUUGAGGAUGAUGUUGGCUCUUUCUUCACUUUAACGGUUUUCUUUGCCUGUUUGCGAAUCACUUGUGUUUAGAAAGCAUUUAUUUUUGAUCAAAAUAUCUUUUCACUUACUUGAACAUCAUCCUCGUGACGUGACACGUUGUCGUUAUCGUCUGAAUCGGGUGAAAAUUCUGAAUUGUCUUCGAACUCUGACGUGUCGACAUCGCUCGAGUUGGACGCCAUACUUCGGAUGCUGCUAUUGCUCCGGCUUCGAUUAUCUCGCUGCAUUUAGGCUGGAUAUCGUUAUUGUUGUUGUUCACGGAUGUUGCAGUGUGAAUGUUUUCUUCGACUUUACUUCAGAUGGGAACAAUUUCAACUAAAACGAUUAUAGCCGUAGGAAAACACAAGGAAAAAAAGGGGCGGUAUUUUAUUGUCAGCGCUAUCAGAUCGUAGGACAAAGUUCACCGUAGGCAAACUAGAUUUCCCAAUCAAUAACUCUAAUAUUUACCCAAAAUGUUAUUGUCUGCUACCGUCUCGUAAACUAGCUGAAUUUGUCACCAAUUCCAUUCGGACGGAUGGCUUUUUAUAUGGGCCAAAGGUCCGAAAAAGCGGGUCAUGCGCGCGAGCAUCAACCCUGUUUGGUGAACGGGAGCGUCCAAUCCAGUGACGAGGAAGAGUUGUAAGUUGACAGGGACCCCGCCCUCCUAUAUUUUCUAUUACGAAUCUUUUGACGUUCUUCGGUAAACCCUCCCCUCAGUCGCUCCGAUUCCUUUCCUGUGAAAAAGUUAAAAAAAAACUCUUAUUCUACUUCUACACAAUACAUAUCAUAUUCCCCUUUUGAGAGGGGUUGGUUGACUCUCUAUUCAAAAGCAGAAAAAAAGGCCCCCAAAAAAUGAUCGUAUUAACUCGAUAAAUGUGCGUGGCAUAAAUCAGCGACUUUAAAACCUCGAAACUCGUGGGAGAAAAGCGGUUCAUCAGCUUCAGCUUUUCAAAAGUAUCGCACGCACAUCGAAUAGGCCUUUAAAGUCUGGACAUACAAAGAUUAGCAGACAUUUGAUACGAUAAGAAGCCACCAAGAACUUCUUUUCCAGGGCUACCGACGAAGUAGAGUUGAAUUGUUUCUGACAUCUGUCAAUCGCCACUUGGCUGUCAUGUCGCCUCCAUUUUUUUUUCCAAGCUUUUCAGUUUGUUUUGCUUUUCAUGGUAAUGGCCAUACGAGUUUUGCGGCCAACCGGUAGAUAAAUUAGCAUCGAUAUCAGUCAAUAGGCAGUACAGAAUUAAACAUUGGGUCACGUGGCACCAAACAGCGAUAGUUUUUUGUUACUGUGUGUGAAUGGAUUUUCGAUACUGUGCAUUUCGAGUGUGUAUUUACUGUACAUAUAGACCUAUUAUAAUACUCAUUGAAACUGAAAAGAGAUCAACGUGAAUCGCCUCCCUCCAUUGGCACGCGACCGACCACCGAUCCAAUCAAUUUAUUCAACCUCAUGACCCUUCUUUUCUCUUUUCAUGAUAAUUCAAUGUGGCUACAAAAUUGCCAUUCAUUCUCCCCCAUAUGAAAUCCUAAUAGAUUUUGUUUUGUUAUUGUAGUUAGAGGAGAAGAAAAAAACGAGAAGAGGGUGAGGGGAUUUUUAUGUGACGAGUUCCCAAAGCUGUCAAAAUACGUUAUUAAGCUGCCUUUCCCUUUCGCUUCUAAAAGCACAGUCUUAUCUCGAGUUAGCAGACGCUGCUCUGUGUGUACUAAAUAACAUCGUCGGCGACGCACGCGGCGUCGUUGACAAAGCAGCAAUAUUCUGUAUUUUGAAAAGAAUUGGAUCACCAACUAUAAUACAGUUGCCUUCUUCUACGUUUGGAUUCAAUUUGUCCCCCAAAAUCCUGAAUCGAUUCCGUGUUUUAUUGAUCACAGCGCUUCAAUAUUAUGACAUGACAUUCUAGAAAAAUUAGCAGACAUUACUUUUGUGACAUCAGUGGAGCAACUAUCCCUUUAAUGUAGGCGAGAUGGGGAUCAAGAAGAAAUAAAGAAAAAAUUCAUCGGAAUGCACAAAAUACGAGGAAGAGAGGGACGAGAAGAACAAACGUCAGAUAAAGAGGCAUCCGUGGCUCACAGACAUCACGAGCCACAAAGGUACGGUCCCAAUCUUGUGAUACACUGCUAUUUGGAACAGGAAUCGAGACGACCACUUUCUCUGAUGAGUAAAAACUGAGGGGGAAGUUGCAGCUGGUGGAAUUGUGGCAGACGUCAGUAGCCUCCGUUAAGUUGAAAACAGUUUUGAGCAGGUCAAAUUUCACCGACAACUUAUUCCGUACCUUAAAUAAUCACAUAAACGUUGGAUAUGAUUAGCAAAUGGGAUGCAAAUAAAUAUUUUAUGUUGUUUUUCUAAAAUGAAGUGGUUUUUGCAAACUAUGCUAAUUUUAUCCAAAAGAAAAUGGUUGAAGAGAAGGAAUGGUUUGAAAAUUUUCCAAAUGGCAACGUCUAUUCGUAUUUUCGAACCCUUCCCCAUGAAUCAUACCGAAUCAGUUUUAAUUCCCAUUCUUGCAACAUCAGCGAAGGUAGGCUGCUGCUACAGUCCCAGUUUUUUAUUUUCAAUAUUAAUAAAUCUUAUUCAUCUAACUUUCAAAUAGACAAAUCAAAGUGUACACAUUCAGCAUUUCAACGUUGGAGAAAUUGCGCUUCAAGAUUCUCCCCAAUUAACCAUCACAACUUAACGAGAACUACGGAUUCUUGCGAUGUAUGAACAUCCUGUCCCGGUUUGCGUCACGACCACUUUCUAGCUACUCAUAAUGUAAUAAAAAUAAUAAAAAACCUCAACUCGA
Molecule: unclassified non-coding RNA, 6757 nt
Filed under: Daphnia magna
Lineage: Eukaryota; Metazoa; Arthropoda; Branchiopoda; Diplostraca; Daphniidae
Description: zinc finger protein 761, transcript variant X2
Source: RNAcentral